GAUGAACGCUGGCGGCGUGCCUAAUACAUGCAAGUCGAGCGAACAGACGAGGAGCUUGCUCCUCUGACGUUAGCGGCGGACGGGUGAGUAACACGUGGAUAACCUACCUAUAAGACUGGGAUAACUUCGGGAAACCGGAGCUAAUACCGGAUAAUAUAUUGAACCGCAUGGUUCAAUAGUGAAAGACGGUUUUGCUGUCACUUAUAGAUGGAUCCGCGCCGCAUUAGCUAGUUGGUAAGGUAACGGCUUACCAAGGCAACGAUGCGUAGCCGACCUGAGAGGGUGAUCGGCCACACUGGAACUGAGACACGGUCCAGACUCCUACGGGAGGCAGCAGUAGGGAAUCUUCCGCAAUGGGCGAAAGCCUGACGGAGCAACGCCGCGUGAGUGAUGAAGGUCUUCGGAUCGUAAAACUCUUUUAUUAGGGAAGAACAAAUGUGUAAGUAACUAUGCACAUCUUGACGGUACCUAAUCAGAAAGCCACGGCUAACUACGUG
This 497-nucleotide ribosomal RNA is filed under the name uncultured bacterium. RNAcentral describes it as "partial 16S ribosomal RNA". It matches the Rfam family "Bacterial small subunit ribosomal RNA", at positions 28 to 507 of the family's 1533-position model. The record is from RNAcentral.